UACGUAGGGGGCUAGCGUUGUCCGGAAUCAUUAGGCGUAAAGCGCGUGUAGGCGGUCCGGUAAGUCCGCUGUGAAAGUCGGGGGCUCAACCCUCGGAUGCCGGUGGAUACUGUCGGGCUUGAGUACGGAAGAGGCGAGUGGAAUUCCUGGUGUAGCGGUGAAAUGCGCAGAUAUCAGGAGGAACACCAAUUGCGAAGGCAGCUCGCUGGGACGUUACUGACGCUGAGACGCGAAAGCGUGGGGAGCAAACAGG
This 253-nucleotide ribosomal RNA is filed under the name uncultured bacterium. RNAcentral's name for it is "partial 16S ribosomal RNA". It matches the Rfam family "Bacterial small subunit ribosomal RNA", at positions 524 to 776 of the family's 1533-position model. The record is from RNAcentral.